Molecule: unclassified non-coding RNA, 589 nt
Filed under: Hevea brasiliensis (rubber tree)
Lineage: Eukaryota; Viridiplantae; Streptophyta; Magnoliopsida; Malpighiales; Euphorbiaceae
Source: RNAcentral
AACAAAUUAUCUGCAUUAAUAGUUAAAUUUUGUAAAUCAAUGAUGAAACAUUGAAGAUAUGAGCAUAAACUACAUAGGAAUGACAUCUAGAAAAUGGAAUCCACUCUUCUUUUUCACUAGUACACACUUACAUGAAUCUUAACCAUAUUGUUAACCCCCAACUCUAACUGCAAUGACCAAUAUUUAUGACUACAAAAUAAACCUAAACAGGAACUGAACUCAAGCACCUUAGCUGUGUCAAUGAACUAAUUGGAUUAUGCGUAGAAUAGUAUUUGAAAAAUAAGAUCAAAAUGGCACAAGUAUGACUUUUUCAUCAACAAUUACUAGUGCCGUACACAGUCAAAUUCAGGGUAUAGGUAGUUAUAGAGAUUGAUGAGAAAAGUUGAAGGACUCUAGAUAGGCUCUCUUCGAUAAUAGAAGAGAGUUAGACAAAAUUAAAACAUUACUGUGUCUCCUUGGGCAGAGAUAAGAUGCAGUCUGCAGGGUUCACAACCCCACCUGACUCCCAUAAUCUCCAAGGAAUACCCAUCUUCCCAGCACCUCUGGCCCUUAGAUUGAAGUUCUAGAUCCACCACUGAUUGACCCCACA